CACUUUCAGGGUAUAAAAACAGGACUGUUUAGUAACACAGCUACACCGGGAGGACGAUCCAUGCAGACACUGCUUAUUGCUUUUAUCUGAACUCAUCACGUUAUUACGUCAUGGGUGCUUCUGAUUCUCGACAGUGUGAAGUUGUCUUUAUGAAUUACAGCAGGAACUACACGCUGCGCAACGCCAGAGUACAUUUGGAGAGUGGACAAUAUGACACUGCUAUGCCUUCAACACUGCGCACUUCUGAAUAUGGCAGCGCUGUGUUUUCUAAGACGGCUGGCGCAGCGCGUGGAUGUGUUGGAGUCGUCACCUACGAUCUUUACAAUGAAUCUACAAAGCGAGCUGAUAAGAAAAUCGCUGGCAUGUUCUCUGUUCCUUUCGAUUAUAACCUGUACUACAUCUGGCAUGGAAUCGGAGUCUUUCCCAUCAACACACAAUGUAAUUCUUGUCUGUUUGACAUUAUGAAAAACAAUGAACAGCGAGGGUUUGUCAGAGGAAGAGCUGAGGGUCCCACUCUUACUUACAGAGAUAAUGAUGUUACCCUUACUUCCUCCAUCACAAACUGUAGUCGAGCGACUAUGACAGUGGAAGUGCGCAACCGAUAGUAGACAGUCUAAUAAUGGAGAAAAGAGAGUGAUGGGUUUUUGCUUUGUUCUUUGGUAUAAGCUUCAGGCGAUCAUUUGUUUUUAGUGGUUUAUCAAGACAAAGACAUUAAAGUGGCAAUUAAAAUGGCAUCGACAUUAAAACUAGGAGGUCAGUGAUAUAGAACCUCACUCAGCACAAUACGUCAGAAUUCAUAACUUAUUGUCCAAAAAGUGACAAAUAUAACCCUGAGCACAGUUUGGGUGAAGACCCAUUAGAUGAGUAUUGUAUGUAAGGUUGAUUAUAUUCAAACCAAUAGUGUGGGAGAAGAAGCAGUUCUGGUGUAAUCGUGAAACAGAAAACAAUUAUCAACAAUGAAGGAAAUUUGGAUCUUCUGUAAUGUGGAAGUCUUUUCCACAGUUUGACAUUAACUGCUAAACAGUGAAGAGGAGUUAAAACAGGAAUUUGGGAAAGAGUAUUUCAAAUUAUUCCUAUGAUUCAAUUGUUUCAUGCAAAAAUAAACUCAUAACUACUUUUGUUCUAUUAGAAGAAAUGUCCCCGAUACAACAAAAACUAUGUGAUGGUUUGUCUGCAGAUCACUGAAUAUGAACAAUAAAGA
Oreochromis aureus is the source of this 1201-nucleotide long non-coding RNA. RefSeq lists it as uncharacterized. Lineage: Eukaryota; Metazoa; Chordata; Actinopteri; Cichliformes; Cichlidae. The transcript has 3 exons. The record is from RefSeq and is a predicted model, not a curated record.